This 2984-nucleotide ribosomal RNA is filed under the name Oligella sp. HMSC09E12. Its description in RNAcentral is "bacterial LSU rRNA". It matches the Rfam family "Bacterial large subunit ribosomal RNA". Lineage: Bacteria; Pseudomonadati; Pseudomonadota; Betaproteobacteria; Burkholderiales; Alcaligenaceae. The record is from RNAcentral.
GUUAUAGGAUCAAGUGACUAAGUGCACAUGGUGGAUGCCUUGGCGAUCACAGGCGAUGAAGGACGCGAUAGCCUGCGAAAAGCUACGGGGAGUUGGCAAAUAAGCAUUGAUCCGUAGAUAUCCGAAUGGGGAAACCCACUGGCGUAAGUCAGUAUCGUAUCGUGAAUUCAUAGCGAUACGAGGCGAACCGAGCGAACUGAAACAUCUAAGUAGCUCGAGGAAAAGAAAUCAACCGAGAUUCCGGCAGUAGUGGCGAGCGACCCCGGAGUAGCCUAGACGAGAUAGUCUAAUGUAUAGUCGAACAGCGUGGAAAAGCUGGCCGUAGUAGGUGAUAGCCCUGUAGACGAAAUGCGUUAGGUGGUACUAAGCGUCAGACAAGUAGAGCGGGACACGUGAAAUCCUGUUUGAAGAUGGGGGGACCAUCCUCCAAGGCUAAAUACUCGUGAUCGACCGAUAGUGAACCAGUACCGUGAGGGAAAGGCGAAAAGAACCCCGGGAGGGGAGUGAAAUAGAACCUGAAACCGUGUGCAUACAAACAGUAGGAGCCCCCUUUAAGGGCUUUCGGUGUGGUGGCACGCCACAUCAAAAGCGAUUUUAAGUAGUGAACUAGCUACGUGUAACGUAGUGAGCCAGCUACGAGAGAGUCUUUAAAGGGGGUGACUGCGUACCUUUUGUAUAAUGGGUCAGCGACUUACAUUCAGUGGCGAGCUUAACUGAUUAAGGCAGGCGUAGCGAAAGCGAGUUCGAAUAGAGCGCAUAGUCGCUGGAUGUAGACCCGAAACCGGAUGAUCUAUCCAUGGCCAGGUUGAAGGUGCGGUAACACGCACUGGAGGACCGGAACCCACUAAUGUUGAAAAAUUAGGGGAUGAGCUGUGGAUAGGAGUGAAAGGCUAAACAAAUCCGGAAAUAGCUGGUUCUCUCCGAAAACUAUUUAGGUAGUGCCUCACGUAUGGCUGUUGGGGGUAGAGCACUGUUAUGGCUAGGGGGUCAUAGCGACUUACCAACCCAUGGCAAACUCCGAAUACCGACAAGUCGAGCGUGGGAGUCAGACAGCGGGUGCUAACGUCCGUUGUCGAGAGGGAAACAACCCAGACCGCCAGCUAAGGUCCCUAAAAUUGGCUAAGUGGGAAACGAAGUGGGAAGGCAUAGACAGUCAGGAGGUUGGCUUAGAAGCAGCCACCCUUUAAAGAUAGCGUAAUAGCUCACUGAUCGAGUCGUCCUGCGCGGAAGAUGUACCGGGGCUAAGCCGGUUACCGAAGCUGCGGGCGUGAUUUAAUCACGUGGUAGGAGAGCGUUCUGUAGGCCUGAGAAGGUGAGUCGAGAGGCUUGCUGGAGGUAUCAGAAGUGAGAAUGCUGACAUGAGUAGCUAUAAAGGGGGUGAAAGUCCCCCUCGCCGUAAGUCCAAGGUUUCCUGCGCAACGUUCAUCGGCGCAGGGUGAGUCGGCCCCUAAGGUGAGGCAGAGAUGCGUAGCUGAUGGGAAGCUGGUUAAUAUUCCAGCACCGUGUUCAAAUGCGAUGGGGUGACGGAUUGCGAAAUGCGAGCGGGCGGUUGGAAGAGCCCGUGACUGGUACUAAGAAGGUGGUUAGGCAAAUCCGGCCACGAAAUUCAAGGUAUUGGUGCGAAGGAGCUACGGCUCUGAAGUUGUAGGCAGUGGUCCCGGGAAAAACCUCUAAGCUUCAGUUUGGACAUGACCGUACCGCAAACCGACACAGGUGGACGGGAUGAAUAUUCUAAGGCGCUUGAGAGAACUCAGGAGAAGGAACUCGGCAAAUUGAUACCGUAACUUCGGGAGAACGUAUGCCCCGGUAGCGUGUUAAAGCGUGAAGGGGCCGCAGUGAAUCGGUGGCUGCGACUGUUUAUUAAAAACACAGCACUCUGCAAACACGAAAGUGGACGUAUAGGGUGUGACGCCUGCCCGGUGCUGGAAGGUUAAGUGAUGGGGUGCAAGCUCUUGAUCGAAGCCCCAGUAAACGGCGGCCGUAACUAUAACGGUCCUAAGGUAGCGAAAUUCCUUGUCGGGUAAGUUCCGACCUGCACGAAUGGCGUAACGAUGGCCACACUGUCUCCUCCUGAGACUCAGCGAAGUUGACAUGGUUGUGACGAUGCAAUCUCCCCGCGGCUAGACGGAAAGACCCCAUGAACCUUUACUAUAGCUUCACAUUGGAUUGUUAACCGGCCUGUGUAGGAAUAGGUGGGAGGCGCUGAAGGCGGGACGCUAGUUUCGCUGGAGCCGUCCUUGAAAUACCACCCUGGUUUGUUGAUGGUUCUAACCUUGGCCCGUGAUCCGGGUUGGGGACAGUGUGUGGUGGGUAGUUUGACUGGGGCGGUCUCCUCCUAAACGGUAACGGAGGAGUUCGAAGGUACGCUAGGUACGGUCGGAAAUCGUGCUGAUAGUGCAUUGGCAAAAGCGUGCUUGACUGUGAGACUGACACGUCGAACAGGUGCGAAAGCAGGACAAAGUGAUCCGGUGGUUCUGAAUGGAAGGGCCAUCGCUCAACGGAUAAAAGGUACUCUGGGGAUAACAGGCUGAUACCGCCCAAGAGUUCAUAUCGACGGCGGUGUUUGGCACCUCGAUGUCGACUCAUCUCAUCCUGGGGCUGUAGCCGGUCCCAAGGGUAUGGCUGUUCGCCAUUUAAAGAGGUACGUGAGUUGGGUUUAAAACGUCGUGAGACAGUUUGGUCCCUAUCUGCCGUGGGCGUUGGAUACUUGACGGAGGCUGCUCCUAGUACGAGAGGACCGGAGUGGACGUACCGCUGGUGUACGGGUUGUCAUGCCAAUGGCAUUGCCCGGUAGCUAUGUACGGAAGAGAUAACCGCUGAAGGCAUCUAAGCGGGAAACUCGUCUGAAGAUAAGGUAUCCCGGAGGCUAGACCUCCCUGAAGGGUCGUUCGAGACCAGGACGUUGAUAGGCUGGGUGUGGAAGUGCAGUAAUGCAUGUAGCUAACCAGUACUAAUUGCCCGUGCGGCUUGAUCCUAUAACUCAG